AGAUCUACGGAUGAAAGCAGGGGAUCGCAAGACCUUGUGCUACUAGAGCGGCCGAUGGCAGAUUAGGUAGUUGGUGGGAUAAAAGCUUACCAAGCCGACGAUCUGUAGCUGGUCUGAGAGGACGAUCAGCCACACUGGGACUGAAACACGGCCCAGACUCCUACGGGAGGCAGCAGUGGGGAAUUUUGGACAAUGGGCGCAAGCCUGAUCCAGCAAUGCCGCGUGCAGGAUGAAGGCCUUCGGGUUGUAAACUGCUUUUGUACGGAACGAAAAGCCCUGGGUUAA
This 285-nucleotide ribosomal RNA is filed under the name Comamonas aquatica. RNAcentral describes it as "partial 16S ribosomal RNA". It matches the Rfam family "Bacterial small subunit ribosomal RNA", at positions 190 to 463 of the family's 1533-position model. The record is from RNAcentral. Lineage: Bacteria; Pseudomonadati; Pseudomonadota; Betaproteobacteria; Burkholderiales; Comamonadaceae.